CCUACGGGUGGCUGCAGUGAGGAAUAUUGGUCAAUGGCCGGAAGGCUGAACCAGCCAUGCCGCGUGAAGGUCAGUGCCCUAUGGGCGUUAAACUUCUUUUGUGCGGGAGCAAUAAUGGUCACGUGUGGCCAGACGAGAGUACCGUACGAAUAAGCAUCGGCUAACUCCGUGCCAGCAGCCGCGGUAAUACGGGGGAUGCAAGCGUUAUCCGGAUUUAUUGGGUUUAAAGGGUGCGUAGGCUGUGAGGUAAGUCAGCGGUGAAAUGCCCCCGCUCAACGGGGUGAAGUGCCAUUGAUACUGCCUUGCCGGAAUGCGGAUGCCGUGGGAGGAAUGUGUGGUGUAGCGGUGAAAUGCAUAGAUAUCACACAGAACACCGAUUGCGAAGGCAGCCUGCUGGACUGUAACUGACGCUGAUGCUCGAAAGUGUGGGUAUCAAACAGGAUUAGAUACCCUAGUAGUC
Molecule: ribosomal RNA, 460 nt
Filed under: uncultured bacterium
Lineage: Bacteria
Description: partial 16S ribosomal RNA
Rfam family: Bacterial small subunit ribosomal RNA
Source: RNAcentral